CACGGAUCCAGAGUUUGAUUCUGGCUCAGGAUGAACGCUGGCGGCGUGCUUAACACAUGCAAGUCGAGCGAAGCACUUGAGGUUGAUUUCUUCGGAAUGAAAUCUCAUUUGACUGAGCGGCGGACGGGUGAGUAACGCGUGGGUGACCUGCCCCAUACCGGGGGAUAACAGCUGGAAACGGCUGCUAAUACCGCAUAAGCGCACGGAGCUGCAUGGCUCAGUGUGAAAAACUCCGGUGGUAUGGGAUGGGCCCGCGUCUGAUUAGGCAGUUGGCGGGGUAACGGCCCACCAAACCGACGAUCAGUAGCCGACCUGAGAGGGCGACCGGCCACAUUGGGACUGAGACACGGCCCAAACUCCUACGGGAGGCAGCAGUGGGGAAUAUUGCACAAUGGGGGAAACCCUGAUGCAGCGACGCCGCGUGAGCGAAGAAGUAUUUCGGUAUGUAAAGCUCUAUCAGCAGGGAAGAUAAUGACGGUACCUGACUAAGAAGCCCCGGCUAACUACGUGCCAGCAGCCGCGGUAAUACGCAGGGGGCAAGCGUUAUCCGGAUUUACUGGGUGUAAAGGGAGCGUAGACGGCGAAGCAAGUCUGGUGUGAAAACCCGGGGCUCAACCCCGGGCCUGCAUUGGAAACUGUUUUGCUUGAGUGCCGGAGAGGUAAGCGGAAUUCCUAGUGUAGCGGUGAAAUGCGUAGAUAUUAGGAGGAACACCAGUGGCGAAGGCGACUUACUGGACUGUAACUGACAUUGAGGCACGAAAGUGUGGGGAGCAAACAGGAUUAGAUACCCUGGUAGUCCACACUGUAAACGAUGGAUACUAGGUGUAGGAGAUAUUAAGUCUUCUGUGCCGUCGCAAACGCAGUAAGUAUCCCACCUGGGGAGUACGGCCGCAAGGUUGAAACUCAAAGGAAUAGACGGGGGCCCGCACAAGCAGUGGAGUAUGUGGUUUAAUUCGAAGCAACGCGAAGAACCUUACCAGGGCUUGACAUAUGCAGGAAUAUAUAAGAGAUUGUAUAGCUCUUCGGAGUCUGUAUACAGGUGGUGCAUGGUUGUCGUCAGCUCGUGUCGUGAGAUGUUGGGUUAAGUCCCGCAACGAGCGCAACCCCUGUAGCUAGUUGCCAGCACGUAAAGGUGGGAACUCUAGCUAGACUGCCGUAGAUAAUACGGAGGAAGGUGGGGAUGAUGUCAAAUCAUCAUGCCCUUUAUGUCCUGGGCUACACACGUACUACAAUGGCUGUAACAGAGGGAAGCAACACAGUGAUGUGAAGCGAAACCCAAAAAGCAGUCACAGUUCGGAUUGAAGGCUGAAAUUCGCCUUCAUGAAGCCGGAAUUGCUAGUAAUGGCAGGUCAGCAUACUGCCGUGAAUACGUUCCCGGGCCUUGUACACACCGCCCGUCACACCAUGAGAGUUGGGGAUACCCGAAGCCUGUGAGCCAACUAUAAAGAGGCAGCAGUCGAAGGUAGAAUCAAUGAUUGGGGUGAAGUCGUAACAAGGUAGCCGUAAGCUUCAC
RNAcentral lists this ribosomal RNA (1513 nucleotides) under uncultured bacterium. RNAcentral describes it as "bacterial SSU rRNA". It matches the Rfam family "Bacterial small subunit ribosomal RNA". The record is from RNAcentral.